This 553-nucleotide long non-coding RNA is filed under the name Homo sapiens (human). RNAcentral describes it as "long non-coding RNA NONHSAT157573.1". The record is from RNAcentral. Lineage: Eukaryota; Metazoa; Chordata; Mammalia; Primates; Hominidae.
CUUCCUGACAGCUCCAGUUAAUGGGACUGCCAGCAGGCUAGACAUCCUUCGCCGGAAUGUGCAGCGCUUAGUUCUGUGCCCGGGAGGGGCUUCUCUCUCUUUUGGGAUUGGAGUGUGGCAUUGCCGCCAGAAAGCCUGCAGAAUUCCGGGUUGUGCAGCCAAGCAGGAACGGUGUACCUUUCUAGACCCAUCCUCUUGCAAUCUUGGACCCUAAGAAAAGAUGUGGAGUGGGCUGCUACCUCCUGGCCUAAAUGAAAGUGACGCUGAGUCAAACUCGGAAGAUGAAGCUACGUUGGAGAACUCUGGACUUAACUUACAGGAAGAUAAAGAGGAUGAGAGCAUCAGAAAAACAGAAAUCAUAGAUUUCUCAACAGAUGAACCAAAAACUGAAACAGAGUCAAAUGUAAAUGCCUAUGAAGAGUGUCCUUCUGGAAUUCCCAUAGAUAUGUGGAAUAAAUUUCAAGAAUUGCAUAAAAAACAUUCUGAACAGAAAAGCACAACCUCAAGAUUCAGAGGGAAAAGAAGAAAACGCUCCAGAAAAGAUAAAUUGAAG